CAGGGACUAGGCAGAGGAGGAAUGGUGGAGACCACCUCCCCAGCCUGACCCUUCCAGAGAAGAAGGAGACAGUUCAGAAUUACAACAGGAGUUUGAGGGAGAUCACAGCUCAUAGGCAGAUGAGGGGGAAAGCUGGGGAAUAAUGGGAGAGGAGGAGGAGGAGGAAGAAGAAGCACCAGGGGAGUGACAGCUGAUGGAUUCAGUGUCUUUAGAGAGCAUUCCAGACCUCCCUUCACUCCCAGAACAUGGCAGGCCUUGAAGGUAGGAGAGCAAAGAGCUCAUAGGCAGAUGGCACAUCCCAGCACCUGUAGUGAUGACUCAUGAGGAAGUGGGAGGGGUGGAGAUUCACUCGGAGCAAUGCCAUUAUUCUGAGGCCACAUCCCCAAGCUUCUCUCUGUGAAUAUUGAAUAAAAGCAGGUAGCAUGGACUUUCCCUUGUCUUGUCCAUUCCUGGCAACCUGCUGUGGAAGUUGGUUCCUCUGCACUUCUGUUAGUCGUCAGUGCUAAGAACUGAAGCCAAACAUUCAUUCAGCAAUACCUUCAGUGCCAUUAAUUUUUUCAAUGCUAGAAAAAUGCAACCUGUGCUGUUGAUAGAAGUAGUAUGACUCAUGCAACACGUUGGCGACUAAUAUACAUACAAUAAUUACCAAAAUGAUUAUGCUUUCUUUAUCAGUCUUCUGAGAAAAAUACAAAACCUUAUGCAAAGCCACAGAGACUUGCGAACUACCCAACCUAAGGUGAACUUAUAAUGUCUGAUUUCAAUGGGUUUUUCAAGUGCUUACCUCAGUCUUUUGUUUUAUUUAUCUUUUUAGGUAAGUUCAUGAAGAUGCCAACCAAAGGUAAGUUUGGUGUUCACAAUACCGAGAGAUGCUAGUGAAGUUGUAGUUGGAUGUUAAUGAAGUUGUAGACAACAGGGUGCCGGCGUUUUGCACCUGUUUCGCCCUGGCAAUCCAAGUAAUCAAGAGGCCGCUGUUCGCCCCCGAUGGGGCUCUUUUACUGGGGCUUGCAGAUAGCACACUCCCAAGGUAGUUUUCCGGGCUUCUUCAGUGGUCUAAUCUCAAAGCCUUGAUACGUAUAUUGAUAUUCAAUUUCAUAGAGAAUACUAUUUCUUGGCUUAAGCUUAAGAGACUGAUUUGCUUAAUUUUUUCAAAGCUGGGGUACACCUUUAACCCUAACUUGCAAUAUCACACCCACCUUUACAUUUUUCCCGUCUAUCCCUCUACCUCCCAUUCUCACUCUUCACCAGCCCUCUGCAAGUGCAGACAUUCAUACGCGCUCCAUCUCUUUAAAAAGUAGAAACCUUAGAAACCUUUUUUUUAAAAUUGUGCUAGUAGUGUUAGCAUGGUCCAUUUUAGGUUGGACCACAAAUCACCAGCUGAAGACCAACAGAGUGCCCUACAUCAUAUCAGCUCCCACAUUCCUGUUCUCUUAUUCCUUUGACUAAUUUUUCCUCCUGUGACAGAUGCUGCUAGAUGGUUCAUUUCUGCAGAGUAAUAACCCACAACUCAUGUAGAAAACCAAGGAGCCAAGGGCAUCUUAAUUUAACAUUUAUGUUCUCCAUUAUAUUAUAUAGUAGCAAUAAUAUGCUGUUCUAUUGACUUUUUCAUCAUUAUUUAUUUGUAUUGGCAGGACAUUCUACUCAAUGGAAUUGAAGGAGGCUUUUUGUUCUCCAAAGCUGAGAAGUGAAGGGAGAUACAUUUCAGCGUCUCAAAGAGAAAAGGGAUAUGCACAUAUUUCGACUUCUGGUUGAGUUAAAAUGGGGGGGGGGGGAAUUAUUCUACGAGGGUCAAUACAACAUCAGUAGCUUAUUCAUGUUUUAAGACAAAAAGAAACAAUGAAUUCAUACAUAAAAUUAAAUAAGUCAGCCCAGCCUGCUGUAGCAGCAUAUAUACACUAGAAAAUAUAAGAAAAUUAUCCAAGCUAAAAACCGGUUGAUAUAAAAGAUGCCUUUAAGAAUUGGUGGUGGCGGGGGUGUCAUUGCAAAACCACACAGUCCUUCAGAAGACCCAAUAUGACCACCCCACUUAAAAGAUAACUCAAGCAGAGUUGGCAAAGCUGACAAAUAAGCUACAGGAGAAGAACAACCGGGACUUCAAAGAAGACUGGGAACUUUUUACAUACUAUUUUUAAAAAAACACAGCAAAAUGAUUUGGAUUCUGUGGCAGGUUUUGAAUAAACAUCCACAAAUUUAUUAACAGAAUAUAGGACAGAUGAUGGAAUGAUAUGUACAGUUUUUUACAUGCAGAGAGCAAUAUGUGCAAAUAAAUCAGAGAGGGGAGCUGAGGGAAGUCUUGGGGGGGAGAGGAGGGAUGGGGGGAAUAAAAAGGGGGGAAAUGUAAUUGAUUAUUUGAAUAAUUUGUUUGGUUGAAAUUGUUUAAUAAAAAUAUUUUUUUUUUUUAAAAAAAAGGUAACUCAAGCACAUGCUUCUCAUACAAAAAGUCCUAAGUUAAGUCCCAC
This is a non-coding RNA of Podarcis lilfordi (Lilford's wall lizard), 2456 nucleotides long. The record is from the annotation of a GenBank genome assembly. Lineage: Eukaryota; Metazoa; Chordata; Lepidosauria; Squamata; Lacertidae.